CUAGAGGGAAUCAACUAACGAAUAGAGAUUAAGAAGUAAUAAGAAUUACAAACCAAUUUGUACAAAUUCCUAUAAAUUACAUAUACUAAAAGGGGAGAGAUAGAUUAACGUCAAACGUGACAAGGUCCAAUUAAACAGUAAUUAAAACACAUUCCCAAGGUUCAAACAAUUUGAUUUUAGCGCCUUAUCUCAUAACUCAAUUAUAGUUCAAGGCAUAAGUCCAUAGUCACCCAUUUUAUAACUACUUAAACACAUUUAAAUAAUCAUAAUGGAAUGCAACAUAAACAUUUAGAUUUAGUGCAUAUGGGCAUAAUAGUAUUAUGAGUUUAAACAACUAACAAAAUUAAAAUCAAAUAUUUUAACUUUCUAGUUAGUAGGGGCUUAAAUGCAAAUAUGAAAAAGUUAGGGGUCAAACCGUAAAUACUCAAAAGUAUAAAAUAUCUUUUUCUAAAUUACAAAAAGCCCCACAAGUGGGUAAUCCACUAGGGAAGGCCGGCCACUUAAUGGGGGGAUGGGAAGUCUCACCCACAUGCUUUAAUUCAAUGCAAGGUAGAAAAUUCCAAAUUUACUUGUCACUUGGUUUUGGCAUUAAAAGGCUUUAAUGAAAAAGUGAUGGAAAUCUCCUAGACAAGUCUAGGGUUUUAUAAGUUUUAAUAUGGUUAUGGAUGGUAAGAACAUCAUCCAAAACCAUAAAACUAUGCAUGAAAACCAAAUAAAACCAUUUUCACCCAAAACCAAACUAUGAACACCAAGAACA
This 757-nucleotide long non-coding RNA is filed under the name Malus domestica (apple). RNAcentral's name for it is "long non-coding RNA (MDOM_LNC017514)". The record is from RNAcentral. Lineage: Eukaryota; Viridiplantae; Streptophyta; Magnoliopsida; Rosales; Rosaceae.